CAGGUAGGUGGUUCGGUAAGUCUGUUGUGUAAGCUCCCGGCUUAACUGGGAGAGGUCAACGGAAACUACCAGACUUGAGUAUAGGAGAGGUUACUGGAAUUCCCGGUGUAGCGGUGAAAUGCGCAGAGAUCGGGAGGAACACCAAUGGCGAAAGCAGGUAACUGGACUAUUACUGACACUCAGCUGCGAAAGCUAGGGGAGCAAACA
Molecule: ribosomal RNA, 207 nt
Filed under: uncultured bacterium
Lineage: Bacteria
Description: partial 16S ribosomal RNA
Rfam family: Bacterial small subunit ribosomal RNA
Source: RNAcentral